Molecule: ribosomal RNA, 140 nt
Filed under: uncultured bacterium
Lineage: Bacteria
Description: partial 16S ribosomal RNA
Rfam family: Bacterial small subunit ribosomal RNA
Source: RNAcentral
CUGAUCCAGCCAUGCCGCGUGUGUGAAGAAGGUCUUCGGAUUGUAAAGCACUUUAAGUCCGGGAGGAAGGGCAGUAAGUUAAUACCUUGCUGUUUUGACGUUACCAACAGAAUAAGCACCGGCUAACUUCGUGCCAGCCG